RNAcentral lists this ribosomal RNA (306 nucleotides) under Triticum aestivum (bread wheat). RNAcentral's name for it is "partial small subunit ribosomal RNA". The record is from RNAcentral. Lineage: Eukaryota; Viridiplantae; Streptophyta; Magnoliopsida; Poales; Poaceae.
AUGUUCUUGCUGGUCAAUUUUGGUCGGUGUGUGCUUCACGUUGACACAGAUGGCAAAUUGAUUGACAUUUUCAAUUUUGAUCUCCAAGGCUUCUGUAUUUAUGAAUGUCGUCUCAAGCAAAGUCUGGUUCAGCAUACCUUUUUUCCGUCUCUAAAAGCCUACAGAAACGGAAGCCUACUAUUGUUUCUCGUCAGAGGGUGUUCUCUGAAAUGUAAGCAAAGUGAGAUAAUGAAGCAAUAUAAGCUCACCGAUGAUGCUAAUAACUUAAGAUGUACUAGUACUUACUUUGCAUAUAUAAAUUCCUGA